CCUGUGAUUGGAGACAUCACAAGCCAGGAGCCAGGUAGCCCCUUGCUGAGCGAAUAUGCCACCAUAUGAAUGAGUCUCUGGUUGUGAUAUCUAAAUAUGUGGCCCAAGAAGUGCCACUGUCAACUGCUCACAUUGGGUUUCAAGUGGACUGAGUUUCUUUCAACCGGAGCGUGCUCACAUCCCUGGGGGUUUCCGUGGCUCAGUAUUUCAUGCAACGGAAUUUAAGAACUAAUAAUUUAUGGAAGACACACAAUUGAAGUUAAAUAUUUCCUGCAAACUCUUUAAGGUCUUAUAUUUUUAAACCUAGGGGUAUCUACCUGUAGGUAAAAUUAAAUGAUAUUGUAAGUUGACUGUUCCACUGUGGUUCAUGGAAAUACCAAAGGAACAAAAAAACAACUAAAUUAAAGCACAACUAUUAGGC
Long non-coding RNA from Marmota flaviventris (yellow-bellied marmot), 421 nucleotides. RefSeq lists it as uncharacterized. Lineage: Eukaryota; Metazoa; Chordata; Mammalia; Rodentia; Sciuridae. The record is from RefSeq and is a predicted model, not a curated record.